RNAcentral lists this small nuclear RNA (174 nucleotides) under Pelecanus crispus (Dalmatian pelican). Its description in RNAcentral is "U2 spliceosomal RNA". It matches the Rfam family "U2 spliceosomal RNA". Rfam says of the family: U2 is a small nuclear RNA (snRNA) component of the spliceosome (involved in pre-mRNA splicing). Complementary binding between U2 snRNA (in an area lying towards the 5' end but 3' to hairpin I) and the branchpoint sequence (BPS) of the intron results the bulging out of an unpaired adenosine, on the BPS, which initiates a nucleophilic attack at the intronic 5' splice site, thus starting the first of two transesterification reactions that mediate splicing. Lineage: Eukaryota; Metazoa; Chordata; Aves; Pelecaniformes; Pelecanidae. The record is from Rfam by way of RNAcentral.
AUCCCUUCUUGGCCUUUUAGCUAAAAUCAAGUGUAGUAUCUAUUCUUGUCAAUUUUGUGCCACACAUAUCUUCAAUAUGAGGACAUGAUAUUAAAUGAGCGUGGGAAGUGGGAGGUGGACUUGGAGCUUGCUCUGUGCCUUGACCUAGCAAUGCAGUGCCCCAGGCAAUAGGAC